RNAcentral lists this ribosomal RNA (465 nucleotides) under uncultured bacterium. RNAcentral describes it as "partial 16S ribosomal RNA". It matches the Rfam family "Bacterial small subunit ribosomal RNA", at positions 339 to 795 of the family's 1533-position model. The record is from RNAcentral.
CUACGGGCUGCUGCAGUGGGGAAUAUUGCACAAUGGGCGCAAGCCUGAUGCAGCCAUGCCGCGUGUAUGAAGAAGGCCUUCGGGUUGUAAAGUACUUUCAGCGGGGAGGAAGGGAGUAAAGUUAAUACCUUUGCUCAUUGACGUUACCCGCAGAAGAAGCACCGGCUAACUCCGUGCCAGCAGCCGCGGUAAUAUCGGAGGGUGCAAGCGUUAAUCGGAAUUACUGGGCGUAAAGCGCACGCAGGCGGUUUGUUAAGUCAGAUGUGAAAUCCCCGGGCUCAACCUGGGAACUGCAUCUGAUACUGGCAAGCUUGAGUCUCGUAGAGGGGGGUAGAAUUCCAGGUGUAGCGGUGAAAUGCGUAGAGAUCUGGAGGAAUACCGGUGGCGAAGGCGGCCCCCUGGACGAAGACUGACGCUCAGGUGCGAAAGCGUGGGGAGCAAACAGGAUUAGAUACCCGCGUAGUC